AGAACGAACGCUGGCGGCAGGCCUAACACAUGCAAGUCGAACGCCCCGCAAGGGGAGUGGCAGACGGGUGAGUAACGCGUGGGAACGUGCCCUAAGGUACGGAACAACUCCGGGAAACUGGAGCUAAUACCGUAUGUGCUCGAAAGGGGAAAGAUUUAUCGCCUUGGGAUCGGCCCGCGUCUGAUUAGCUAGUUGGUAGGGUAAUGGCCUACCAAGGCUACGAUCAGUAGCUGGUCUGAGAGGAUGACCAGCCACACUGGGACUGAGACACGGCCCAGACUCCUACGGGAGGCAGCAGUGGGGAAUAUUGGACAAUGGGGGCAACCCUGAUCCAGCAAUGCCGCGUGAGUGAUGAAGGCCUUAGGGUUGUAAAGCUCUUUCGCCCGCGACGAUGAUGACGGUAGCGGGAGAAGAAGCCCCGGCUAACUUCGUGCCAGCAGCCGC
This 444-nucleotide ribosomal RNA is filed under the name uncultured bacterium. RNAcentral describes it as "SSU rRNA". It matches the Rfam family "Bacterial small subunit ribosomal RNA", at positions 26 to 518 of the family's 1533-position model. The record is from RNAcentral.